GUGUAUUAAGUGGAAAAGGAUGUGGAGUUGCUUAGACAACUAGGAUGUUGGCUUAGAAGCAGCCACCAUUUAAAGAGUGCGUAAUAGCUCACUAGUCGAGUGACUCUGCGCCGAAAAUGUACCGGGGCUAAAUACACCACCGAAGCUGCGGAUUGAUACCAAUGGUAUCAGUGGUAGGGGAGCGUUCUAAGGACAGUGAAGUCAGACCGGAAGGACUGGUGGAGUGCUUAGAAGUGAGAAUGCCGGUAUGAGUAGCGAAAGACGGGUGAGAAUCCCGUCCACCGAAUGCCUAAGGUUUCCUGAGGAAGGCUCGUCCGCUCAGGGUUAGUCAGGACCUAAGCCGAGGCCGACAGGCGUAGGCGAUGGACAACAGGUUGAUAUUCCUGUACCACCUCUUUAUCGUUUGAGCAAUGGAGGGACGCAGAAGGAUAGAAGAAGCGUGCGAUUGGUUGUGCACGUCCAAGCAGUUAGGCUGAUAAGUAGGCAAAUCCGCUUAUCGUGAAGGCUGAGCUGUGAUGGGGAAGCUCCUUAUGGAGCGAAGUCUUUGAUUCCCCGCUGCCAAGAAAAGCUUCUAGCGAGAUAAAAGGUGCCUGUACCGCAAACCGACACAGGUAGGCGAGGAGAGAAUCCUAAGGUGUGCGAGAGAACUCUGGUUAAGGAACUCGGCAAAAUGACCCCGUAACUUCGGGAGAAGGGGUGCUUUCUUAACGGAAAGCCGCAGUGAAUAGGCCCAAGCGACUGUUUAGCAAAAACACAGCUCUCUGCGAAGCCGUAAGGCGAAGUAUAGGGGGUGACACCUGCCCGGUGCUGGAAGGUUAAGGAGAGGGGUUAGCGUAAGCGAAGCUCUGAACUGAAGCCCCAGUAAACGGCGGCCGUAACUAUAACGGUCCUAAGGUAGCGAAAUUCCUUGUCGGGUAAGUUCCGACCCGCACGAAAGGUGUAACGAUUUGGGCACUGUCUCAACCAGAGACUCGGUGAAAUUAUAGUACCUGUGAAGAUGCAGGUUACCCGCGACAGGACGGAAAGACCCCGUGGAGCUUUACUGUAGCCUGAUAUUGAAUUUUGGUACAGUUUGUACAGGAUAGGCGGGAGCCUUUGAAACCGGAGCGCUAGCUUCGGUGGAGGCGCUGGUGGGAUACCGCCCUGACUGUAUUGAAAUUCUAACCUACGGGUCUUAUCGACCCGGGAGACAGUGUCAGGUGGGCAGUUUGACUGGGGCGGUCGCCUCCUAAAGUGUAACGGAGGCGCCCAAAGGUUCCCUCAGAAUGGUUGGAAAUCAUUCGUAGAGUGCAAAGGCAUAAGGGAGCUUGACUGCGAGACCUACAAGUCGAGCAGGGACGAAAGUCGGGCUUAGUGAUCCGGUGGUUCCGCAUGGAAGGGCCAUCGCUCAACGGAUAAAAGCUACCCCGGGGAUAACAGGCUUAUCUCCCCCAAGAGUCCACAUCGACGGGGAGGUUUGGCACCUCGAUGUCGGCUCAUCGCAUCCUGGGGCUGUAGUCGGUCCCAAGGGUUGGGCUGUUCGCCCAUUAAAGCGGUACGCGAGCUGGGUUCAGAACGUCGUGAGACAGUUCGGUCCCUAUCCGUCGUGGGCGUAGGAAAUUUGAGAGGAGCUGUCCUUAGUACGAGAGGACCG
This 1633-nucleotide ribosomal RNA is filed under the name Bacillus tropicus. RNAcentral describes it as "partial 23S ribosomal RNA". It matches the Rfam family "Bacterial large subunit ribosomal RNA", at positions 1054 to 2694 of the family's 2925-position model. The record is from RNAcentral. Lineage: Bacteria; Bacillati; Bacillota; Bacilli; Caryophanales; Bacillaceae.